AAGGUUCAGGAAAGCUGCCUGGAGCAGAAGGAGUCUCAAAAUUCACGGGCACCACUUGCACUGCAGCUGAGGAUCCCCAGACAGCAGCAUCCCCACCCCCAGGUGGUAUGCUCUGCGGCAAUAGGAAUGUCUGGGCUACAGCAUUAAAGCACAUUCUGUUUCUAGGGGAGCAUGGCAACAGAGCCCCAGCUGUCAGGCCAUUCUCCCUAUCUCAGCAUGUUCUAGUGAUCCCAGCUGUUCUAGUGAUUAUUGAGAACUACAAACAAGAAGGGCGCUGGGGGAAGGUCAGUUCGAUGCUUUCUGGAGAACUAUCCUUCCAAGGUGGAGGAUCCCAUCUUGGAUACCACAUUACCUUAAACACUGCCUCAGCCAGGUGAUCAAGGUCAACGUCUACUGUGAUAAGUCAUGGUUUUGGUGUGUACCCUUGAUGUGAUGUGAUAAAAAUGGCACUUUACCUCUGUGGUCUUCCUCUGAAAAAUCCCGUAACAGCAGCCUAAUCAUGAGAAGCAUAUCAACAAAACUCAGACUCAGGGACAUUCUACAAAAUACCAGGCUGUCCCUCCCUGAAAUUGUCAAGUUCACCAAAAACAAGGUGAAUCUAAGAAACCUGUUACAGCCAAGAGGAGCCUAAGAAGACAUGAGGACUAAAUAUAACAUGGAAUUCGGGAUAGGAUUGUGCUACAGAAAAUGUAUGUGCUAAUGUGAGAUGUUAACAGUUGGAGAAACUCAGUUUUGGGUAUAAGGAAUUCUCUGUACUAUGUUUAUCUAAAAACAAUUCCAUGGUGAGCAAACUUAAGCAUAGAAAUGUUAAAUAAAUUGUCCAAAAUAGAGAAGUAAAUAGCAGUGCCAGGUUUCAAGCAUAAGAAUCAUCAACUCUGAACUUUAAACACAGCUCUGUAUGGUACUUUUGUUUAUAUCAAUGCCUAGAUAGAUAAAUAGGUAGAUAGAUAAUUUCCAAGUGCUAGAAACAAAAAAGGAACUAAAACUGAUAAAGAAUAUAAAUGAGGCCAGGCAGGGUGGCUCACACCUGUAAUCCCAGCAUUUUGGGAGGCCGAGGCAGGCAGAUCACUGAAGGUUCGGAGUUCAAGACCAGCCUGGCCAACUGGGGAAACCCUGUCUCUACUAAAAAAAAAAAAAAAUAGCCAGGCAUGGUGGCAUGUGCCUGUGAAGCAAGAGAUGUGAGAGGAAAAACAAAUUUUUCCUCUUUCUUUUGGUAUGGGCAGCUUCCCCCUUGAAUCCCUCCUCACUCCUUGUGAUUUUACCCUGCUCUGUAAGUUUUAUGAGUUUAUAGAUUCCUGUUUUCUGUAACUAGUGUCUGUAAGUCUCUGUAGCACCGUGGAGGUAAUGAGACAUGCUUGAGCAAGCUUAGAUUGCAGCCAUCUGGGCGCCAUAGCGAAGGACACGAGAUAAGGCUGUGCAGGCAUCUUGAGCAAACCUAGAUAACAGCCACCUGGCCUGCACAGCAAGAAUCAUGUGUAAGCUUGAGUUAGGAACCUGUCACAGUUUGAUUAACUGCCUUUGUUCUGCUUCUGUAAGCUUGCUUUCCACACCCCACAAGCUUUGCGCCACUGGCAAGCCACCCUCCUUCAGUUGCAUGAAUAAAAGUCAAGCCCUGUCUUCUUUUGUUGCUCAGCCUCUGGAUAUUAAUCCACUAAGCCAGUGGCAACCUAAAUAAAAUC
Long non-coding RNA from Homo sapiens (human), 1679 nucleotides. Ensembl annotates it as long intergenic non-protein coding RNA 1886. NCBI's taxonomy places the organism in Eukaryota, Metazoa, Chordata, Mammalia, Primates, Hominidae. The record is from Ensembl.